AAUUUUGGACAAUGAGGGAAACCCUGAUCCAUCCAUCCCGCGUGUAUGAUGAAGGACUUCGGGUUGUAAAGUACUUUUGGCAGAGAAGAAAAGGUAUCUCUGAAUACGAGAUACUGCUGACGGUAUCUGCAGAAUAAGCACCGGCUAACUACGUGCCAGCAGCCGCGGUAAUACGUAGGGUGCAAGCGUUAAUAGGAAUUACUGGGCGUAAAGCGUGUGUAGGCGGGUCGUAAAGAAAGAUGUGAAAUCCCAGGGCUCUACCUUGGAACUUCAUUUUUAACUGCCGCGCUAGAGUAUGUCAGAGGGGAGUAGAAUUCCACGUGUAGCAGUGAAAUGCGCAGAUAUAUGGAGGAAAACCGAUGGCGAAGGCAGCCCCCUGGGAUAAUACUGACGCUCAGACACGAAAGCGUGGGGAGCAAACAGG
This 424-nucleotide ribosomal RNA is filed under the name uncultured bacterium. RNAcentral's name for it is "partial 16S ribosomal RNA". It matches the Rfam family "Bacterial small subunit ribosomal RNA", at positions 360 to 776 of the family's 1533-position model. The record is from RNAcentral.